CACGCUUUUAUUCUCCUCCACUAAUAAAACCAACAAAUGUACUUCUCCUUCAACAAACAGUAUUUCACAAUAUACACUAAAUCUUCUUACUUUUCUGACCUUCUGAGUAGAGUGAGCGGCUUUUAUUUCAGUUUGAUGCAAAGCAUCUCCAGCUCUUUACUGAGGACACCUGUAUUUAAUCUAUGGAUGGUCUCAGAAUUCUUUUAUUCUCAGCAAGAGAAGGCUGCAGUCAUGCAACUCAGAUGUGAAAGCCAGUCUAAAUCACUCACCGGGUCUCAUUUGCAUUGAAAGCCCACAUCUAUCACAUGGACUCCUGAACCAAUUCAAUCUAUGAUAUAAAACAAUGAAAACUCAGUAAAAUGUUCUGUUGACAUCCCACAUGUACAGAGGUCCUGAAGCUACUUAGUACGUCUGUGUUACUGGCUGCAGUAUAACAGACAAAUACUUAAAGGAGACUUAAAUGAGCAACAUUAGGUACCAUUAGCAGUUGAGGGAUAAUAAUGUGAAGCUCAAGAAAGGCUCAUUUAUCUAACGAGAAGUGCUUCCCGUUACAAACAUACUUAGAAGGUAAUGAUGAGCUUUCAUGCCAAAGCCCAUAAGUAUUUCCAGAGGUUUCAUAAUACAAGUUGUGUUAUUACCCAAUCAUACUACUUAAUGUGCUAGCUCAGCAGAACACACGAGUGUAUUCAGCAUACUCUAAUGUUACUGACGUUUACAGAAGUUUGUAGGUGGUAAGUCCUUUGUCAAAGAGACAGAAAUGAAGCCACAUGUGAUUGAAUCAGUUUUCAGCUGAACACAUUUUCAACUGCAACUGGUUGAGAAAGCAAGCAUUUCUUUCAGACUGUUCUAAAGAAAUCCAGUUUGAAGUCUUCUGUAUUCAAUCAAAUAAACACCAGAGUUUGUUUCUUCUUUCUCCCAUUUUUCAUGCCCUCUAUCUCCAUUUCCCCUCACUUUCGCUUUCUUGUUUAACUUUACUUCAACAAGCACAGGUCAUUAACUCAGGUAACAUGGGAAUCUGUCUCCAAAAGAGGCGGUGGUAAAAUCUGCAAUGGCAUCAAUAGAGCUUUUUUGUUGUAUUUAUUUCAGCAAAGUUCUCUUAAAACGUAUUACAAUAUAAUAUUAACAGAAGUGUCUAAAUGGUAUUUUUAAACACAAGGUACUAUUUCAAAGUAGGAAAUUUUAUUAAAAAGCACCACUUGAAACUAGUGUCAUUUUCACAGUGUACUGCCAUCUGCACAGACCACAGAACAAAGGGAAUGAUCCAAAAUAUUAAAAUAGUUGAUGCAUUCUACCCAGUUUUGACUUCAGAAAGCACGAAAGUGUACAGGUAAUAAAAUAUAUCCAGGCAAACUCCCUCAAAUUGCAAAAUGGUUGAUAUUAAGUGAUGCUGGUUUUUGUAAGGCAGAUCCUUUUUCCUCUUAUGUGAGCAGCACUACACAACCUAAAUUAUUCUUCUCCUGUAAUAGUCACAUUUUCCACAACAUUUCCCAUUGUCUGCAUAAGUAAAACAUUCACCUUUCUGUGAAGGCUGCUUUGAAAGUAAUGCUUCCUAUCCUAUUAUCUUGACCCAUGCUCUCAGAGGUGGAUGUUGGUGGUAUGGCAGUAGAGGUUGAACCUUCCCACCAACAUCCCAUUAUUUUUUGCCAUGACAGACAGCAGCAGAGGGGCAGUCUGACAGAAUGGUGUCUGACAUGGAAGUGUAGAUCAAACAAACGUGUGUCGUUGUACACCUCCAUGUGGAACAAAUUGCACCUACUGAAAUUCAUUGACUUGCUGAACAUUUACAGAGCCCUAGUAGUGGAUGUGGGCAUGGUGAUGGGGUGGGUGGUGUGUUUCAGCAGUGGUGACAGUGGGUCACCUCCACUGGUGCAGAUUUUGACAAGCGCAGCGUACAGGCUCUUGUUCAUCACUGGCAAAACAUGUGGCUAAUAGUGGUGACAGUGUUUAAAGAUACCUGUUUUGUAGCUUAGAAUUUGUUCUAUCAAACAGUGUUACUGUGCUCUUUGUAUCAGUUGUAGUUUCCAUGGAAAUAAAUAGGAGGCAUUACUUUUGGAGUGAUCUACAUAGAUGUAUUAACUUCCACGCUUUCUGUACAGACUUCACUAGCCUCUGUACUUGCACUUACUCUGCAAGACUUUGAGUGUCCCCAUUAGAAACAAGGUUUGGAGACAGUCUCCCAGGUUUUUAAGAGUAUUCAUGAACGUGGUAUCAAAAGAUGCAAAAGAAAAAAACAUUUUAAUGAAUUCUGUACUUCACAGCAUUAUAUUAUGCUACUAAAAGAAAGAAACCAUAUAAAAACUUGAAAUAAAAAGUUCCUAAGUUGUAAAUAUAAUUGAUAGGGUAUAUCUGUCAAGAAUAAAGCAUGCAAUUAAUUACAGCAAAUGGGAUAAGUGCCAUAAAAUUAGUAUUCAUCGUACAUUGUUUGAUUGCUUUUGAACUUUAUCUUAUGUAGGACUGCAGUGCACCACUUAAUGUUGCACGGAAUGAGGUAAUAUAUAUCAUUUUCAUAGAGGCAAAGGCUAUAUGCUACGCUGUUAGUUAUACUACCAUAAAUCCAAGCUGACUCCAACACACUUACUCCAAAUUCACGUUCCUGUAACUAAGUGGGCUGAACUCUUAAUUUAGGCUGUAUUUUUUUUAAAGAUAGUGAUGAAAACAGGCUCAAAUUUCUUGACUGAAGUAGGGCUAAGCUUGCUGCAAGUUGCAGUUAAUAGUUUGUAUUUAGAAGAAUUUUUGUUGCUGUUCAUCAUAUGAAUAUCACAGAUGACAAUAGCAAAACCAUGUGAAAUACAUUACCAUCAUUACCAUUACCAGACGGCCGCAAAAUACCACAUUUCUGCCCCAUGUAUCUAAAAAUCUACUCUUAACUUGAGGGCAAUUAUGGGCACUCCCCCAAGAAUCUUCAGAAAAGAUAUACUGUAUUUACAAUUUCACACUCUGAAAUCUCCCUUAGCUGUAAUAAUGCUCACUUGUAGCUCCCUGGUAGCUUCAGCAUCCUUUAAUAAUGGCACAUUUAAAUGGAAGUGCCAUCACUGUGUGCACAGUACAGGAUUUAAGCAUUAGUCUUCUCCAUAUUCAAGCAAUUCCACCGGUAUUACAAACUCACUUACGUAAAAUAUACACAUACAAAUCAUUCUGUUAGAUGUGCUAUAUGCUACAUAAAGGCAAAUGCUUAUUAUAUUCAAGUAACAUCUGCACUUUGCUGAAGAUGUAUUAGAUUACAUCCUACAUUAGAUUCUGAUUAUCUGCUACACAGGUUUAAAUCCAGAAUUACUCUUAAGCUAUCAUUUUAAUGGGGCUGACAGCCUCUAAAACAACUGCAUACAGUAAAGCAGACAAGAAAAAUAAGGGGUUAUGUCCAUGAGAAAAUUAUUUUCUUGACUUUCCGUCAAGUGAAAACAUAAGAAUCCUAUCUCAAGCCUUCUCCAACAUUGACUUCCCUGCAGUUUCACUGCAGAAAUACCCAGGUCUGCUCUCUGCAGAGCUUCUCUUGCAGCACAGACAUCCUGAUACAGCAGUGAGCUGUCUGCUUCUGAGGGAAAGAAGGCCUUUGACACUCUCCUCACAAAACCACCUCUUUGUAGAGGUGAGUUUGUUAGAGAAGAUAUGAUGCCAGGACUGAACUUACUGUGGUUGUGUUGGCCUCAACACAGCAUCCAGUGAGGUAUAUUGCAAUGGGUUGCUCAGACUUACUUAAGAGCUGAAACAAGAAAUACUAGCAUUCUGCUUGGUGCAGGAGAACAAUUUGUCCAAAGUCUGCGUAUCUCUGAGUUCAAACCUGAAGAAAGGAUGAGGGAAAGGUAACCACAAGUGAUAAUGACAUGAUUAGAAAAUUACAAGUAAAAAUGGAAGCACCAGAUGGAACUCCUGCAUUUGUGUUCACGCUUUUACAAAAAAAACCAAACCAAAACAAACAAACAAAAAACAGAACAGGUGAAGAGCACAGAAAAGUGCAUGCAUUUAGGAUACAUGUGCUCAGACAGACACCCACAGUAAAGUCAUAUCAUGCAUAGUAGUCUCACUUUCAAAUAGGUUGAUGGUAGGCAGUUUGCAGCUGUCUUAUUAAAGUUCCUCUUAUAUAUGUGACACACAUACACACCUGUUCUUUAGUAGGGCUGGUGAAGGAUAGGUGGAAGGAGUCGAGCUACAUGACAGAGCAUGCUGUUUGUUCCUAACAAAAUAAGAACAGAGUGAAGCAGUAGUGAUGCUUCAGGAGAAGAAAGGAGAGAAACACAGAUCAGAAAGAGCAGUUUGACAGAAGAGUUGGAAGAAGACAAUAAUCAGUGUCAUUGAAUACAUAAUUUCAUUUUAGAAUUAAUUGAGUGAUUUAAUUAAAAAAGAACUUCUAAAAUUAAGCACCAGUUCAGCAAAAUAAGCAUGCUUGUGAAAGGUGUCCCCUUUUGGUCAUAAAAAGAACACACAAUUGGUAAGAAACUGAAUAAAAGUCUGUUUCCUUUUAAAGCUUGACUUUCAAGACAUGUUUCUAAUACUUCCUUCCUUCCUUCUCAUCAUGCAACCAUUCACUCGCCACAACUUAAAAUGGGAACAAGUCUUCCCAAAUUACUUAAAAGCAGAUUAUUUCAAAAUUAAAUUAGAAAGAUCAUUAGUUACAACGUUCAUGAUGAGAACAGUCAUUAUGUUUUGUAAAAACAAUGUUCUAUUUUUGACUGAGGUCCAUUUUUACGAUAUUGUGCAAGUAUAAUUCAAUGUUACCGUAUUACCAUUUCUACUUUGAGGCAUGCUUAAGGCACUUAAAGAUUGAGCACAACAUUUUAUAAGAUGUAAACAAAUUUGCCUCCGAGUGCAUUUAGUCUUGUUGGCAGAAGAAAGUGAAAGCAGACUUCCAUUACUUGGCUGCGCUGCUUUCAGUUCCAGUACCAAAAGAUAUGUUUUUACUCUCACCUGCAAUUCUCUGUGGUCCAGAAAUAAUUAAUUUCAAGAUACUGCAUUGUAAAAAAUAGUUUUGAGUUGAAUCCAUAGAUCCCUUGCCUGAUUAUGUUAACAGAAGUACUAUCUUAUCUUGGAAUUCUGAAAGCUCUCUUUCUUUAAAUACUGAUCAUUUAAUUAAGAUUAUAUUUAAAUAUUCCUAAAUUUGAGAGCACUUUAGUGGGACAAUAUGUUCACAUUGACACACUGUAAGGUGUCAAAUACAGACAAAGAAUCAGAGUAGAAUCCAAAUCCAAUUUAAACCCCAGUUCUGUGCUAUUUUCACUGUACAGAAAUUAAGAUGAAAUCCAUAAAAUAGAUAUACUGGUUCCAUGUUCAUGAGUGAUCUGAUUGAUCCUUCCACGUACACAGUCAAGAGAAACUGAUAUCAGCGUUCCAUUAUGCACUUCAAAAGAUGCACGGAGGGUCACACUGGUCCAUAUGCUUCCCUCUGGCAUCUGCCCUCCAAUCUGCUGAGCAAUUAUGGUGGGUUGCAUGUGAUCCAUGGUCAACUGGUUGAGAGUCACUUUGAGCACACUGCAUGAAUGGAUUAGCUUUAAGUUAAAUGCAAGACUGGCAACUCCCUUUUCCGUAAAAAUGAAGUACUUCUGAGCAAGCUGUCCAGAAGAAACCAGCUGUAUCUGUUUCUCAUUGGCUGAGAUCUGGGUGAAAUCCAGUAAUUUGUUUCUCACAGCUCCAGUAGGCAGUCCUGUAACAGAAACUGUGGCUGAUAUGGCACUAGAAACUGCUGAAGGUAUCCAGAUAAGGCUAAACAUACUAAUCCCAGAACUAUCUCCGAAAUAACGAACAUUACAUUGUGCAGGAGAGAGUAUCUCAAAGCUAAUCAGAUCUCCAGCAGCAACUUUUGUGGCUCCAGAAGCAGAUAUUGAUGUAUCUCUGUAAUUUACCCCAGAUUUAAAUACAUUCAUUAAUUCUCUGUUGGUACCAUUCCUAUUUAUAUAAGAAAUUAAGGAGAAACCCUCCCGGACACAAGUGUGACCCAUAGAAUACAAUGCUUGGUGCAACACAAAUUUGACAACACCUGUUUCAGUGAAUUUUAUAGCUCUGCCAUCAUGAGAUAAACUUAGCAUGUAAGGGUCGGAAACAGAAACUAUUUUAAAUGUAGGUCGAUAGUUGGUUUGGUAAUGCAUUGCUGUUGACAUGUGUGCACUGAUUGCCACAGCACCCGUGUCAUGAGACAACCAGAACAGACUUAGUGGGCUAUUAAGAUCAUAAAUAUGUAAGUCUUUACUCUGAUUGCAGAAUUGGUUUGGGCUCCUCAAAAACACGGAAAGAGUUUGGCUGGGCUCCACCUCAGCAGCGCUGCUUAAACUGGUGCUCUGGAAAUAUUUUCCUUCUGGCUGUUCAAUGCGAACACCACUCAGUUCAUAGCCUUCUUCACUACCAUUUAGCUUCAAGGAAAGUUGAAAAAAAUUCCUGCAGUUGUGUUUUACUGCAAAAUUUAGGUCAGUCCACAAAAGACCAUGCUGCCUGAAUAUCAGGCUGUGAUCUUCAAUGGACAGGAUGUCACAGUGGAGCUUUUCCCUUAUCUUCAAGUUCAAGCCAGAGUAGACCUGAGAGAUGCCAGACUUCACAGAUGGUAAAAUGAUGUUUGCAGCCCAAGAUUCUGAUAGCUUGCUUUCACUGGUUGCUGAACAAACCGUGUCACUAACAGUGGAACAAGGCAUGGCCACCAUUCCAUCUUCACAUUUCAAACACGCUUGGCAUUCUUGCAUUUCCUUAUUAAAGAAAUACUCUUCUCCACACAAUCCCAGAGCUGCAUCUUUCUCAGCAAUUCCAAGGCAUCGGAAGCCACCUGCUCACAGAAAUUGGGCAAUUUUAUUGUUAAAUCUUUAAAAUACUAAAAGAACUCUACAGAUCUACAUACGUAUCAAGUAUGUUUGAUAACAUAUCUAAUUAUGAGAGAAAACAGAAGACAGCCCUGAUGAAACUGAAGACAACCAGGAAGAAAUUUUUUACUCAGAGGGCAGUAAGGCACUGUCAUAGGCUGCCCAGAGAAACUGUUGAUUCCCCAUUCCUGGUGGUGUUCAAAGCCAGGUUGGAUGGGGCCCUGGGCAGCUGGAUCUGGUGGAAGGUAUCCAUGCCAACGGCAAAGGAUUGGGACUCCAUAAUUUUCAAGUUCCCUUCCAACUCAAACCAAUCUGUGUUUCUAUGUUAGAUCACUUUGCACUACUAAAAGAUCCUAGAGCACUAGGGGGAACUCACCUUGCCCAAGCCGAAUUCAGUGGUUUAGAGUAGAAGGAGCAAGGAGACAGAAGGGGCUGAACAGGAGAAAUUCUAACCAAAAUCUGUAAUGAGUCAGAUGUGAAAUUACUCCAAAGACACUUUUUCAUAAAUAAAAGGCAUAGCACUAAGCAGUGGACAUAUUUUCAAUUAAGGUAGAGUUCCUCUACACGGAAAACGUCCACUGCUGCCCACACAUUAUGGGCAGUGCUGCUGUAGCUGUGAUUGCUAAAGCAGUGCUUUCCAGUCUGAGGGACAUAGACCUCAGGCAUUCUGUGUACUGUUUUUAAUGAUCCUGCAAGAGACAAGUAGGAAAAACAAAAUGGUAAACAUAUGGCUUAAAAUCAUUAUGCAGAGUUUGCACAUUUGAAAGGCAAAAAACCACUGCUGUGACACACGGGACAGCAAUGGUCUUGAUAGCCUAAAAUAACCAGAUGAACAAAACACCACAGAAAAUAUCUAGAGAUGCUGUGUGGAAUUACUUAAUUUGUAAGAAGGUAAUUUUGUGCUGUUGGAUGGCACAUCGUGACCUCAGUGGAUCAAAGAAUGCACACUCAAAGAGCAGGUUUUAAAAACAGCCUGUAAUUUUCUAUGUCAGUUUUCCAAGAGCACUGCCAUCUGCUGUUGCCUCCAGCUGGAGCAGCUGGUGCCCAGCACCUUUAUGCACAGAGCCCUCAGGAUCUAAAUCAACACACUUAAUUUGAGACAACCAAAAGAAUAACCACUUGCAGUUUGCACCUCACAGUUUAUGUGCCAAUGCACUAAUUUCAGCUUUUUGACCACACAUAAUUAAACCCAAUGAUCACCUUUCCUACAGCUCCUCUUAAGUAUCCUUUCCUGUGUUAUUUUAUUCACAAGUGUUUCUUAGAUGCAUAUAUUUGUUUUACUCCUCAGUUGGAAAGUUGCUGUAUCUGGGCAGAGAUCUGCUCCAAGACUGGGACCACAAGCAUUUGACAUGGACCCCAGCAAGCCAAUUUUCUCUGCUGCUAAACCCAGGACAGUGUUGGCUACACAGACUGCUGUCACAGGCAGAAAAGCAUGCUCACAUACUGAGACUGAAUAGUAUACAUGCACCUGGCACACAAGGGAAGUCAGAAUAUUCGCUAAAAUUCACUUCUGCCACAACAUUAUUCAGCUGAGACCACCAGAUGCAGUAUUCAUUUAUACAAGCUUCACAUGUACACCCUCAUACCUCUUUUUGUCUAUUCGUGUUUCAUUCAGUAGAUUCUUCACUAACACAUAGUGAUAUGUAGGACCAUACAAUGUAUGGUGUGAGAACAUUCCUUUAGAGACCAGGUAUGGCUCUCUCAGAAGAGCUCGGUGUAGAAAAGUCGUAUUUUUCCAUUUGAAAAAAGUCAGAUGAAACUUUAACACUCUAUUCCCUCGAAAAGCGUCUGGCUUUUUUUACAAGAAGCAAAAGCUAAGUAAGAUCACAUUUUUUCAACUAUGAAUAUUCUAUAGAGAAUACAGGAGGUCCCUGACAAGCUUUCCUUUUGCAAACAGAUCGUUUUUCGCCCUAGAACAAUAGCUGGCGUGACACUACUUAACCAGUUCUGCUUCUCAAAUCAAUAGCUCCCACACCACUGAAACACGCAGGAAGAGCUGCUACUGAAUACACAGAUACAACUGUUUCAUAUAGCAGAGAUGAUCUGCAGAAGUACCUAGACAUACUUGUUUAUGCUAUUUGCUUCUUUAAUACAUUUUUAUUUACAUUUAAGGUUUUUUAUAAAUAUCAGGCUUUACAAACAUGUGGUGACUACUCUUAGCAUUACGCUGUCUAGUUUUUAAUCAGUUCUAUCUGCAGCAGGUGCUCCCCCUUCAUGUACUUGAAAUAGGUGACUUCAAAGCAGCACAUGGGCUGCUUCCUACUGUGGACACAGCAGCAGCAGCAGCAUCCUAACCUCUGCCAGACCUGAAAAGGUCAAGGAGCAAACAGCAGCCAAACAUCAGAAGGCCAGCAGAGCAGCAUGCUGUGACUGCUUCCUAUUUCUCUCUACCACAUUUCUGACAAUCUCUCCCACCUUUUCCUGGCCCCUGCUCUGGAGGCUGCUGCACCUGAUUUUAUUGUGAGCAGCCCAGCUGCAUUAAUGUUGUUUUGUGAAUCCACAGAUAUGAAGUUGUCCCAGUUUUGUGCCCCCCAUGCAGCCAGGCUGAGCCUGUAUGCCUGGUAGACAUUUGCACAGAACACAGCCAGCCACAUGGAUGAACACUGACAGAAAACGUUAACAAGCACAUGCAAUACUCACACAAAUAUAUACAGCACAGAUGGCUCAGGCCUGUUCUCUCUAGCUGCAUGGCACUGAAGACCAGUGACUGGUCCUAGACUGUCUGAUCUCCUUCAGUUGUUGGCAUCUGAACAUAGAAGCUUGCCAAAGUAUGAGGGCUCAGUACAGUUGAUAGUCCACAGACCUAUUAUCCUACUCACCCAUUAAUCCAGUCUGAAUUUUGCUAUCCCUCCUUACUUUCCUCUAAACACUCAUAAUAAUUUUUGUAUAUUCCCAUACCCAUUUAAAACACUCCACAACAGAUCUCAUGCCAUCUCUGAAUCCUCUCCCCACAGCAUCCCACAGUAACUCCUAUAGAAUCUCCCCUUUAGUUUGCAUGGGGUCCUGGAAAGAGUGCUUUUGGCCAGCUCCACUUGGCAGAUUCACAUUAAGGACAAGUCUGACUGUUCUCCUGGGAUUGUGUGAGAAGAAAACCGUGCACUUUGAUAGCUCCUUGGCGACAAACCUUUACUCAAAUAACUUAACAACCCCCGUCCCAGAUAAAAACAAGGAAAGGCAGCAGGGGAAGGAGGUAUGAUACAUAGAAAAGUGGAUGGGUGAAGAAAGAGAGGCUCCUAGUUGCAUGGUUUUUUGCUGCUAUGUGUUCCCUUCCCACUGUUAAGGGAACGUGAGCUGUUACAGAUCCAACAAACUUUGCGUGCAGCUCAAGAAACUGCAUAUAACAUCUGGAACUCAUACAUCAGAUCACAUCCUCACCUACCCUACGUUACCCAAAACAAACAUCCAGUUUCAGACACCCUUUUGACAAGUUAAUUGCACUUGUAUAAGAUAAUGAGCCAUCAUGAACAGACAAGCUCAAAGUAGCAAUCUUAUCAAACAAAAAAUACGAAGAGCACACCCUUUUCAAUGACAGAUGAUGGGGAGAAUGUUGACAGAACACCAAUUCCUAGCCCAAGUGAUAGGAGACAGAUUGUCCUCACAUCUUCAUAAGGCACCAUUAAAAAUGGGAGAAGAGGGAUCAGAGGAAGAGUCUUUUCCUUUCAAACACAUUGCUGCUGACUGUGGUCUGACAAACCACCAUUACCCAACUGUUUCACAGCAGUAUUUUGUCCUCUGAAUUUUUCCUCUAGCAGUAGAAAACACCUACGCUUGGUCUGGGUCAUCCCACACAGCCCUCUGGAUAAAUUCCUUACAGCCUUCCCUCUCCCAUGUCACAAACCAGAGCAUUACCAAUGACUCCCACACUGGUGGUUCUCCCUUCCUCAAGCUGGGACCCUGUAGGCUUCCUUCCACAAAACUACCAGCUUGAUAGCACCAAUCCCAUCCUCCUACUAAAGAAGAGACCAAGCCUUGUACCAUUCUGAUGCUUUGGUUCAAAUGUUGUGCCCCAAGCUGUCCUGCUACUAAUUGCUCACUACUUAGGCUGGCUAUAAAGAAGCGUCUUGUCUUUUCUUUUGUUAAGAUGGAUGGUACCUAUGCUACAGUGCUUUCGAGGCAAGACAGCACUGGGUGCUCUCUUUGGUUAUUUCCAGUUUUCUGUGGCGUUUGUAGUAAGACCACCUAGCCAACCUAAGUUCCUGCCAAAAUGAAGCAAGGACAAUGUAUGCAAGCCCAAGUCUUCUUUUACCCAUUUCUUAGGACCAAUUCCCUCCCACUUUUUUCUACACUAGUGCAAAAUCACUCAAAGACUUGAAACACCCUUUGUCCCUCAGAAAGGUCACCCACUUUUUAUGCGUAAGUCUAGAGGAUGAAAAGCAUAUAAGCUGAUGAAGUCUUCCCUUGGUUGUUUUACUGAGUGUACUUCAGUACAAAUUGUGAUUGGUGAAGUGCUCUAUUUGAUCAGUUUCUUUCAAGCUUUUUUUUUUUUUUUUUUUUUGGCUGACCAGAAAUUAUCCUAGUACCUGGAUGCAUUUUUUGCUCAGUACAUCUGUUAAUUUUCCUCUUUGUGUCUGACUGCCAUAAGAAGUAAUGAAGGCUAAGUCUGAAGUUUACAAUUCCACUCAAAUCCAAUCCUAAAUGACUGAAAAUUCCUCCACACUCACAAAUGAUGAAAACUGUUGAUCAUUCUUCAAUAUUUGACAAUAUUAUUGCUUAAAGGAGAAUAAGAUUGAUGAAGAAAGGCUCUAUAAGUACCUUCAUUAGAUCAACUCAAAUACCUACCUCAGUGCAGCUGCAGGAAAAUGACAACUAUUUUUCUCCAUUAGGAAUAGAACCUUUGAUUUUCACCCCAUUUGCACCAGCACAAACAAGAACACGGUCAGGUUAUAAGAGAAAAUUAAAAUCAAAGCAUAUAAAAACCCAAGAAAAUAAAGUAAAAGAGACCCUUCAAAGGUCCUAGAGGAUAUUAUGUUCUAAAGUGCCUAUUGUCUGUCCACAAGAACUGCUAUCAACUGUUGAUUGUUGACUGUUUCUCAACCCCUUUGAUUCCACCAAGCUGAGCAUACUAUUACUCACAAACAUACAGGCCUGAGCCUUUAUCUAUCCUUCUGGCCUGUUCCUGAAGAUCUAAUCAUCUUCAUCCUUUAAUUACCAGGGCAUAUAACUUACCUGGAGUAUUCAGGCAUUUUAUUCUCUCGCCACAAAUGCUUGGAGAUUCAGUGCAUUCAUCUCUGUCCUGUAAAUCACAAGAAUCAUACUGAAAAACUUUAAUGCCAUAACGUCAGCUUGAAACAGGCACUUCAGGCUGUCACACCCAGGCAUAUGCAGGCAGGAAGAGGAGGGUGAUCUCACAGACGUGUUGAAGUAAGACAGCUCACUUCGGAUCUGCUUUAUCGAGGUAUCCAAACAGACUGUGUGGUUUCCAGUUUGCAGAUCAUGAGCUAAAUGGACUGGUACUAAACUAACACUUUUUACAUUACAUGAUCUGUAAGACAGUACCACAUCCCUUAGAGAGAUGCAUCACUCAGUUGGUCUUGAGAACACUGCAACAACCAAAAUAGCAUCAGGAAAGGCUCUUAAAGACAUCUAGUCUGGGAGGAAGGUGCUAACUGAAAAACAUCCAAGAAAGUGAAAUGAUAAUUAAAUUUCUCUCUCAACAGGCUCUACCCUCACCACACAGUAAGCAGAGCGGAAAGAACAAAGGCUAAAUUUGCCUUGAAACACUCACAUUAAAUAAAAUUAGACAAGCAGAGGGAAGGAGACAGCCUCUUUCAUGUUUUUCUCAGUGAUAGGGACACAGAUCACUAACUGUUCAGGCUCAUGAGAAGCUAAGAACUGAAGGCAACAUCUGGCAAAGAAGUCACUGUUUUAAGUAUCCCAACAUAAGUUAGGAUUUUUAAAUGGAAGUGACCACAAAAGCAUCUUGUUUACAUGCCAGUGUUGUGUAGUAAAAUGUAUUUAAUAAUUAUAAAUGUGAAUGUUAACCAUUCUAUAUCUUUGUAUGCUGUUUGUAAGCUAGAAUUAAAUUUUACAUUUGUUUUAACUGAUAACUUUCAUUUCCAGUUUAUAAACAAACGCAUGACCAUUAGUUUUACUUAAUAAAGCUUUCCUCUACUUUUCCAAUGUGUCCAGCAGUUCAUGUAGACUGGUCUGGCAUUAAAUAAAUGAAUUUAUCAUUCAUAAGUGUAUUUUAGGGUAUAUUUUUCUACCAGGAUGAGCAGAAUCAACGACCUGGCAGCUGCCAGACUUGGGAAAGCUUUUACAUCCAGCACACACUACCCAGUGCCCCAUUUACAGCAGCAAAUGGUGAUGAGAAAACCCAGAGAAAACUUUAGGCAAAAUAACUACCUCUAUGAAUAGUUAUUUGCAGAACGUCAUCCUCGUAUGUCCAACACAAUACUUCAUAAACAGUAACUGAAAGAUACAGAAUUAUAUUUCACCUGGCAAAUCCGAUCAGAGUUUGCAGAGCAAUCAGCCAUUUGGAAAAAACCAGCAGGACACAAUGUGCAUUUUUCACAUUGUGAAGGUGUCUUUUGGAAAUUGCAAAAUUCAUCACUUUCACAAAGACCACAGUCCAGCAAAGACUCCCCUACAUUUAUCACUUUUGCAUCCACUUCUACUUUAUGUACAGAGUAUGACUUCUGGAGAUGAUUCCUGACCUGGUUCUGAAGUCCUUGAAGAUGACUUUCAAAAUAAUUUUGAAUAUCUUCUUGCAAACUCUGAAAUGACAUUUGUUUCACUGUGUCAAAAAGCAUGCCAUACUGCACUUUGAUCAGAUCCAUUUGCUCAUACAUUUUUCUUUGCUGUUCAAGAAUCUCCCGUUGCUGGCUAACCAAUACAUGUUGCUGUUCAGCAAGUUUCUGCUGUAAAUCUACAAUGAUCUGCUGCUGGCUUUUUAGCAUUUCAGUAAAUUUCUCAUGACCUUUUGCAAGGUGAAGCUGUAGUAUUAGGGCGUCUUCAGAUGGAACUUCAUUUUCUCCUGAAAUACAAAUGACUCGUUAUUUUCCAAGAUAAAUAAUUUUCUGAUUGCUGUGUUAUCUCUUCAAAGGUAUUACAAUUCUAAUAAGUUUAAUGAAAAGGCACUUUAAAUUCAAGUCAUGAUUUAAGACCAGUCCCUUUACUAUCUCUGUAGCUCCUCCAAGAGACUGCAAGCUCUUCUCUUUCAUAAGGAACAACAUUUAUAGUUGGAGACACUGAAAAAGACAUAAUCAGCCCCUGUGUUUCAGGUCAUAAAUUAAUCAUCACUUGGGGUCAAUAACAGAUGAAUCAUAUCUAUGUAUACGUCAAAUACAGUAAGAAACAAAUGGUAAAUUUUCACUACAGAGGUGACAAAAUUUCUUGAGAACACUGAGCUAUUGAAAGUAGUAAAAAUAAGGGUCAAUUACAAUUAACUGUAAAAGGAGUCUAUGAUACUAAGUACCAGCAAUAAAACAGGAAGAAGAAACUCAAAGGAGAUAAAGGUGAAAUUAUGUACUCACUGAUAAAAGGAAAAACUCUAAGUCUUUUAUUAAAAACAAACAACCCCCUUCCCCACCCCCCCCCCCCAAAAAAAAAAAAAAAAAAAAACACCACUGUUGCAGAUGAUGUUUGCAGAUAGCUCCUUCUUCUAGAUGUCUAAAGCUCAGUUGGUGACAAUAUGAGACCUAAGAACCCUUUGCAACUGCUUUUAUUCUCUUUUUUAUUUUACAGUGUUGGACUAAAUUCAGCCACACUGUUAUACACCAGUACAAGAGGCCUUUCACUGCAUUAGUUGGUGCUAUAGGCAAUUCACAGUGUCAGAGCAAUACUGAGACAAUGAAGCUCUUGCACAAAAGAGAAGACUCUACUAAAAAUGAAUGAUGUUUGAUUAAGAGGAAGGGGAAUCUUGUUUGUCAAAAGAACUCUGAAGUCUAAAAUAGCUCAGCCAUAAAUGUAGCUGUUUCUGUCCAUUAACUGUCUAAAGAUAACCUACAGUGAAUGUCGGACUGGAAUGUCUCUAGAACACUGGUCUUAGAUCAUACAGGAUGAAUUCCGCUGCAAGACAUGUUUAGUAUACAUCAGCAAUCCCAAUUACCUACCCUUCCACACUCCCCAGCCAAGUAUCAAAUAGGUACAACCACUUGCAACACACAGAUGUUCUCAUGACCACAGAUGCAAAAUUACCUUUCAUACAAACACACACACACCAUACACAGCCAUGGUUAGGAAUGUUUUGCAGAUAUCUACUCCAUACAUCUACAGUCCAUCCACGGUACAAACAAAACACGUACUGAGAAUGUCUUGGAAAGGACACAUUAAUCUGAGAGGGUGCUGCAUGUUUCCUAAGGAACAAUCUUAGUGCAGGAAGACUGAAAGAAUGUAGUCAUCCUAUUGUGAGGAAGGGAAGGAAGACUAUGAGGUCUUUAGUGGAACCCAAGUUGGUGCCACUCCCUCCUGAUAACCAUAGCAGAUGGGCAUUGGGCUGCAGACAUUUCUCAGCGCACAGAAGAAUGCAACAGCAUGUGUCAGGUUUGGCAUGUAUGAAAUAUGGCAGCUGCAAAUUAUUUUGCCCAUAUGGGAGUGUUUGGGUACACAAAGGAGUCUGUCUGAAAGAAAAAAAAAACAAAAAAACAGAAAAAUGGCUCAGGAGGGAAAAAUGAAGAAUUUAAUGACAACUGAUCAAUGUGAAGAGAGACACAGAGGAAUAUAAAAUGACACAAUGGCAACAGGUCAUGUGCAUUCCUUCACUUGGGAUGCCAGUCCUACAUCUGGAGUAAGGUGCAGUCAAGGAGCUGCUGAGAAAGAGCAAUGAAUCUUGCAGAGGAAUGGAUUCAUCUGAUUGGAAAAAGGUGUACAUACAGGUCUGCACAUCAGCUCUCAGACCCCUCUAGCCUUGGGACUAGUCUCUUUAGAAGAGGAGAAGCAAAGGACAUUUCCUGGAUUUGCCUCACAAUGUUCACUACAUGCUGUUUGAGUAGCUGCUCUCCCCAGACAAUGGUAAAUGCAUUAGAUGCUUCAAUGUGUGAUUAUCACAUUUCAUGAUUGUAUUCCACAGGCCACGCAGAAUUUCUGUGCAGAACCACGCUUCAGCUACAAACGAGAGUUGAAAAAUGUAUUCUCUGUACUUUCUCAAGAAGCCUACUGAUCUGUGUUCAAAAGGAAGGUCUCCGAGGUCUUAGGCAUAUGCAGUGAAUAUUAGAGGUUGCAGGCAGAGUAGAAUACUGGAUGCUUGCCCGUGCACUGACUAGAAGGAAACCAAAGACUCUCAACAUGGCUCAUUUUGUUGUUUCUGAUGCCAAGCACAUGAGAUUUCUGCUAAACAUUGAUGAAUUUAGCAUGCUGUUCUUCCACUUCUUGGAAAGAAAGCUGUUUUGUGAAGGAUUGGGUUCAGUGUUUGGAAUAGGCAAAAAGCAUAUAGGCCCUUUGUCCAAUCCAGACAGAAUGCAGUGCUCAGCCCAGGUCACCACACCAAGCACCAUGGCUGCUGUGGUGGUCUUGGCUGCAGGCUGCUGCCAAUCUGUGUCACUCACAGGCUGUGAGGCAAAAGCAGUGAGAAGGAAAAAUCUUUGUGGGUGCAGUUGUGUGUGUGUGAAACAGCUUUCACGUGUGGACAAGUUCACGUGUUAUCAUCACUAGUUUGCUCACCAUGUGCUUCUGUGAUAAUGGUGCCUUCAACAGCAUUAAGUGGGUUAGUAGGCAGCAUGGUCCACUUUUUCCCUCCAACACACACAAUGAUCAUCCCUGCCUCAGGUGAGAAUGGCUGGGAUCAGUGAGGCGUGAAAAGGAGAUUGCACAAAUCCCUGACAGCCACUGCCCAUGAAGUAUCACCAUUCUCAAUAGGUUGAAAAACUUUAAAGGAAACUUCUAACCACACUCCUGUUCUCCCAAGACUUCACCUGGUACCAUGACUACAAAGAGCAUAAACUGAAAGAGUUCACUGCAUGUGUCAAGUCCCAAAAAUCCCCAGCAUCCUCACUGUUCCAACCCUUUCCUUUACUCUCCCGUAUUAUACCUUCCUCUGUCCCGUGUCAGGAAGGAGUACCUAACCCCAACUCUAUGGCCUAGGAGAUCAUGGGUGCGCAGAUCUCACGAUGGCAGCUGCAAGUGCUAUGACUGAUCUAGAUUCUCUAAGGACAAUCCUGGAAUAAGAGGAUGCUUGGAGAAAAAGGUCACGCUGUGUCUGAUACUCUCAGUGAAGAUGUAACAUGUGCCUUCAGUACCAUUCAAGAAGUGUCACUCUUCUGUCCAUGCAGUCCUUAUUAUUUGCCAGGAUUUGCAUUACUUGAAAAUAUGGAUCUUGGUAAGCACAAAGAAAUUGCAAAUAUCCUAGGUCCGUUUGCAAAAGGGAGGUAUGGCAAUUACGAUAAAGGUACAAAGAAAACGCACAGAAGCAGAAUAAAUGGAGAUGUCUCUGCUUUCUGCCCACCCGUGGUCAUGGGUAACACAGAGGUUCUGCAGGACAUCUGGAAGCAAAGACAAAGACACACAUUGUCACAGUAACAUGAAGGUGGAGGGGGGGGGGGGGGGUGUUAAUUCUCACCAAAUGGCAUCACCAAAUUCUGGAGGCUGUUUUGGAAGAGGUGUCACUCCACUCAGUAGGUGCCCGAAUUGAGGCUAUGUGCUCUCUUGCCUGCAGGAGCCACAAUGCUCAGCUUGGCCACAAGGAUGUGACAAAGUUCAAACAUUCACCAUGCUUUCCAUUAGCUUUGACCAUCACUGGGGGUGAAAUAAAUCAUUCUUCCUCAUAAAGUUUAUAUCUCUCAGACAAGGCAAUAGGCAAAAACAAGAAAUGCUCUGUGUUCAUUAAAGCUCUGCUGAUGCUUUUAACAUUGGUAAAUCCACCCAUCCUGGGCAAUCACAUUGCAUCUUUCACUGACCCAUGAGUAUAACCCUGGACAUGUCUGACUUUCUACGGGGAUGCUAAGCUGACAGAGGCAGUACAAUGCUCUUUAUUCUGUGCAGUAAGAGGAGCUCUGCAAUUUGUUGCUGUUUUCUGCUGGCUAUCACAGCACAACAACAUGUAAGCAGCAGCAAGUUUCUCACCAAUGGCACCGGCUCAUUCACUCUGGGUGCACAACAUACACACAACUGUGAAGCUCGGGACAAUGUUGCUACAAACCAAAAAAAUCCAGACACAACAAUUGUGAAGACAAUCAGAGAACUUACACUCGCUUUAAAACAGCACCGUGAAGGUCCCUAAUUUACCAUACUUCACCUGUUGCAGACUACUUGAAGGAGGGUACCCACAGAGGUGCGCAGAGGUGAUACGACGGGGCAGCGCCCCGCACCCAGCGCCACGGCUCUGCCUCCAAACCGCGCUGCGCGUCACGGCCCGGAGGGACGGAAACGGGGCGGCCCCAGCGCCUCCCUCCCGGCCCGGCCCCCCGCCGCCCCGCACCUGGCUUCACGUCGCAGCCUGGCUGCUUCCCUUUACACAGAAAAAGUGUACCAGAUAUAUCACUUAUGACUGGACGGCCAAGUGGUUUGCAGCAGCAAAAGCUCCAGAUGCACAGAGGGAUGAUAUCCCCAAGCUGACUUCUGUGAGGCUUGGUGGUCCGCCAGGUUGCAGGGCUCCUGCCUGGCCCAUGGAAACCUGAAAGCCUCACCGGACAAGAUCUACAUGGAACUCCUGGUAGUCUCAAGACUCUCUGCCUGGACCUUCAGCUAAUGUAGGCUCUCUGGUCAACUACUUAGGUUGACCAAGUUUUCCUGUGGUGUCCAGUACCUCUACCAUGAAGGGUGAUGGAAUAAACAGAGAUAAACCUUCAGGAGCUGUCCCUCCAGGACGUACUCAGCAGGAGAGUGUCCUGAGAAGAGAGUAGAGAAGAAACAGAUGUUUAAAGCAGUCAUCUAUCUGGAGUGACCGAGGUACAACUGUCCUUUCCUGAGAUGGAAAUACGAGCUAACUGACCUCACAAGCCCCCCCUUUGACCUGCUUUUUUAUGAUUUUUCCAGUUGCACCAGGCAGCUGACUGAGCCCUCAGGUACAUUAUGUAGGUAUCUCAGGGAUGUGCUGGAGAACAGCUUCCAGUUCACGGUGAAAUUUCAGAGUGAUCUUUUUUGCUUUUGGUUAUAAAGGGAACAGAAUUUAACUGUUAACGUUCUUCUCUAGCAGGAUCCUGUAAUUUAGGUGGUUCUACAACUACUCCUGACCUUGCUUCAUCUUUUAUAUCAAAGGGAAUAUAUACGAGCAGAAUUCUCUCAUCCAGAGCAGUCUAACAGUGGUUAGCUGUGCAUGCAAACUUUCUCAUAUAAAAAGCCAGGCGAAGUACAACUCAUAAAAUUCAAUGUAAAAAUGAUUAUAACAAAGGUUCAAAGAUUAGUGGUUUCUGUUUGGAUAUAGAUCCACUAGAGACAAUGGUGUAACUGCAGAGCACAUAUAUGUACCUGACGUACCUUUAGGGCAAAUGGCAUAAUUACAUCAGCACAGACUUCAUUACAGGGCAGGUGUUUAAUGAACUUCUAAGGAGGGCUUUCCAGAUUAUGCAGAACUCUGUUUUACUGUGGGUAGACUUUGCAUGUCCACAAGAGAUCUCGAUACUGGAUCUCCUGGGUACCAGGUUCAGCCUAGCUGUGGUAGCAUGAGCCUCUGGAUCACCUAACUUUUCUUCUGAAAAAGCACCAUGUAUUUUCUCAGGUACUUUGAUAGAUUUUUCAGCCAAUUUGGAAGCCAGCUGUACCAUGGCUGCGGUAUUCUGGGGACCUGCACCACUGAAUAUAAAACAGUAACUGCCUGCUGUUGGUUUCCACACCUGCACAAGCUCUGUGUGAGCAGCAGAGACAGUCCAUCAUUUGUUUGCAAGAUGGUUUGAUGCAGUGCCUUUUUUUUAACUCUUCACAGCAUUCUUUGGGUUGGCAGUGUUCACUAACACAACUCAGGAGUGGCUCAAGUGAGGAGGCCCCUACAUCUACUCCGUGUGUAGCUUGGAGGCAUGACCUCAGACUUUGUGAUGAUUCAAAUUCAUACACAGGACCAGUUGCUGGUCUACUACCCCAUGUCAGCCAGGCGCAGGUACCCUUGUGGAGAUGUCCGUCCAGAAAAAAAGCUUAUGUAUUAGGUUCCUCUGAAAAUGACCUCCACUGCAAACACCAAAACUGAACACAGUAAGAUGGGGAUAAUUGCUUGCAAACUGCCUUGCUGCUCUGAACCAGCGCACGAACCCCGAAGAAACCUAACGUCAGGUUUCAUCGUGUCGCCUUCAGGCAGGCGCGAAAGCCCCAGUGCGUUCCGUGCAGCCGGAGGUGGGCUUGUCUCAGCUUGAACUCCAUCUCCUCUGGCCAAAGAGACCCUCGGGGACUCGGCAUCGCCGCGGGGCUGCCGGAGCCCGCCGGAGGGCGAGGGGCCCGAGGGCGCCAGCAG
Molecule: long non-coding RNA, 20091 nt
Organism: Gallus gallus (chicken)
Lineage: Eukaryota; Metazoa; Chordata; Aves; Galliformes; Phasianidae
Source: Ensembl